UUUAAUGGAGAGUUUGAUCCUGGCUCAGGACGAACGCUGGCGGCGUGCCUAAUACAUGCAAGUCGAGCGAGGGUCUUCGGACCCUAGCGGCGGACGGGUGAGUAACACGUA
Molecule: ribosomal RNA, 111 nt
Filed under: Brevibacillus laterosporus
Lineage: Bacteria; Bacillati; Bacillota; Bacilli; Caryophanales; Paenibacillaceae
Description: partial 16S ribosomal RNA
Rfam family: Bacterial small subunit ribosomal RNA
Source: RNAcentral